RNAcentral lists this ribosomal RNA (403 nucleotides) under uncultured bacterium. RNAcentral's name for it is "partial 16S ribosomal RNA". It matches the Rfam family "Bacterial small subunit ribosomal RNA", at positions 28 to 526 of the family's 1533-position model. The record is from RNAcentral.
GACGAACGCUGGCGGCGUGCCUAAUACAUGCAAGUCGAACGCAGUGGGGACGGGUGAGUAACACGUGGGUAACCUCCCAUCAGAGGGGAUAACACUUGGAAACAGGUGCUAAACCGAUACUGAUGGAUGGACCCGCUGUGCAUUAGCUAGUUGGUGAGGUAACGGCUCACCAAGGCCACGAUGCAUAGCCGAGCGGGGAGGGUGAGCGGCCACACUGGGACUGCGACACGGCCCAGAAUCCGACGGUAGGCAGCAGUAGGGAAUCUUGGGAAAUGGACGAAAGUCUGACCCAGCAACGCCGCGUGAGUGAAGAAGGUUUUCGGAUCGUAAAACACUGUUAUUAGAGAAGCGGUAUCUAACCAGAAAGCCACGGCUAACUACGUGCCAGCAGCCGCGGUAAUUC